UACGGAGGGGACUAGCGUUGUUCGGAAUUACUGGGCGUAAAGCGCACGUAGGCGGAUUUGUAAGUCAGGGGUGAAAUCCCGGGGCUCAACCUCGGAACUGCCUUUGAUACUGCAAAUCUCGAGUCCGGAAGAGGUGAGUGGAAUUCCUAGUGUAGAGGUGAAAUUCGUAGAUAUUAGGAAGAACACCAGUGGCGAAGGCGGCGCACUGGUCCGGUACUGACGCUGAGGUGCGAAAGCGUGGGGAGCAAACAGG
This 253-nucleotide ribosomal RNA is filed under the name uncultured bacterium. RNAcentral describes it as "partial 16S ribosomal RNA". It matches the Rfam family "Bacterial small subunit ribosomal RNA", at positions 524 to 776 of the family's 1533-position model. The record is from RNAcentral.